RNAcentral lists this long non-coding RNA (1162 nucleotides) under Numida meleagris (helmeted guineafowl). RNAcentral describes it as "lncRNA (ENSNMEG00000022814.1)". Lineage: Eukaryota; Metazoa; Chordata; Aves; Galliformes; Numididae. The record is from RNAcentral.
GCUUGUCUCAGGGAUAAACUUGGCUCUAUGUUGUAUGCUUAUGACGUUAUUGAUGGCCCUCUGGCCCCCAAAUUAAAUUAUCAAUGGAAAAUUCUCUGUCAUUUGUUUCUCAAUGUCACAUGAAUGCAAAAGUCUUUUUCUGUGCAGAUUCAUGGAGAAGACAUUCUCGGUGUGCAUUGAACUUUGCCUUUUCUGAAAGAGGUGCUAAACUACUGCUCCUUUCCAUCUUUAGGAGUACAUUCACAAACGACAGUCUGCUUUAAGGACACUGGAGUGUAGAAUUAUACUGGGCUGCUUCUUCUACGAUCUUCUUUAUCUUUUGGGUCAGCAACAUCACUAAUUGGCACUUGACAGCACACUUCCAGAUACUCCUUGUGAAUCUCAUAGUGUGACUGAUGGUUGAUAAAGAGAAGAAUUCGCGGAUCCAUUUUAGUCCAUCAAAAACUAGAUGCUGCAUAGCGUGUACCACAUCUGGCAAUUGAUAGCACCAUGUUUGUUAAGGUUAUCUGAUUGGAAGAGCUGCAAGCAAUGAAUAACGCAGCAAAGCUGCAUGUGAUAACAUCCCCACAGUGAAACUGCAUCUGCUGACAGCUUCAUGCUUGCCAUUUUAAUAUUCUGGACGUUGUAAGUGGAAAGUGCAAAGAAAUGCUCCCAAUUUCCUGAAUGCACUUGCCAGACAAAGAUACCCCACAAUGCAUUUGAUACAUUCUUUUUUAUCCUGCUACUUUUUCAAGUCAUUUUUUGCAUUCUAAAAUGGUAGGAUUUUUUUUUUUUCUGAUGCCUGAAUGUAUUUGAGGUAUGGGUUUGUUUUGCAGUAGAACUACUGCAACUUUUCUGUUGAUGCCCAGAGAGGAACAAUUCAAAAUCUGUGCCUUUUUUUUUUUUUUUUAUAGGUCUAAAAUAGUUAUUUUUCUAUAUACUUUAUAAACUAAUCAUUUCAAGACUUCGCUGAACACACAAAAAAACAGUAACCCUGCUUUUUUAAUAUUCUCAAAAUAUAAAAGACACUUUCCGAGAACAGAAGAGCUCUCCAUCCUCCAGCAUAAGAAAUCAAGUAGAAGAGGCAGGAAACUGGCAUGGCUGAGCAAGAACCUGCUAGUCAAACUGAGGGAUAUGAAGGACCAGAGGAGAGCCAUCAUGAUGAUCAGAAGGCUAAAGCACC